CAGGGUGACAGGUGGUGCAUGGUUGUCGUCAGCUCGUGUCGUGAGAUGUUGGGUUAAGUCCCGCAACGAGCGCAACCCUCGACCUUAGUUGCCAGCAUUCAGUUGGGCACUCUAAGGUGACUGCCGGCUAAAAGUCGGAGGAAGGUGGGGAUGACGUCAAAUCAUCAUGCCCCUUAUGACCUGGGCUACACACGUGCUACAAUGGGCGGUACAAAGGGUUGCCAAGCCGCGAGGUGGAGCUAAUCCCAUAAAACCGAUCGUAGUCCGGAUCGCAGUCUGCAACUCGACUGCGUGAAGUCGGAAUCGCUAGUAAUCGUGAAUCAGAAUGUCACGGUGAAUACGUUCCCGGGCCUU
This 354-nucleotide ribosomal RNA is filed under the name uncultured Anoxybacillus sp. RNAcentral's name for it is "bacterial SSU rRNA". It matches the Rfam family "Bacterial small subunit ribosomal RNA", at positions 1027 to 1382 of the family's 1533-position model. Lineage: Bacteria; Bacillati; Bacillota; Bacilli; Caryophanales; Anoxybacillaceae. The record is from RNAcentral.